Molecule: ribosomal RNA, 292 nt
Filed under: uncultured bacterium
Lineage: Bacteria
Description: partial 16S ribosomal RNA
Rfam family: Bacterial small subunit ribosomal RNA
Source: RNAcentral
GUGUCAGCAGCCGCGGUAAGACGGAGGGGGCAAGCGUUGUCCGGACUCACUGGGCGUAAAGCGCACGUAGGCGGUUGGGUGCGUCGCUGCUGAAAGCGCCAGGCUUAACCUGGCGAGGCGUGGCGAUACGACCCGACUCGAGGCAGGCAGAGGGUGGCGGAAUUCCGGGUGUAGUGGUGAAAUGCGUAGAGAUCCGGAGGAACGCCUGUGGCGCAAGCGGCCACCUGGGCCUGACCUGACGCUGAGGUGCGAAAGCGUGGGGAGCGAACCGGAUUAGAAACCCCCGUAGUCC